RNAcentral lists this ribosomal RNA (253 nucleotides) under uncultured bacterium. Its description in RNAcentral is "partial 16S ribosomal RNA". It matches the Rfam family "Bacterial small subunit ribosomal RNA", at positions 524 to 776 of the family's 1533-position model. The record is from RNAcentral.
UACGUAGGGUGCAAGCGUUAAUCGGAAUUACUGGGCGUAAAGCGUGCGCAGGCGGUUUUGUAAGUCUGACGUGAAAGCCCCGGGCUUAACCUGGGAAUUGCGUUGGAGACUGCAAGGCUUGAAUCUGGCAGAGGGGGGUAGAAUUCCACGUGUAGCAGUGAAAUGCGUAGAGAUGUGGAGGAACACCGAUGGCGAAGGCAGCCCCCUGGGUCAAGAUUGACGCUCAUGCACGAAAGCGUGGGGAGCAAACAGG